GGACCACCCAGAGGCAGGCUGCUUCCAAGCUCAGCACAGGAUCCUCCAUCAUCCCUCCUGCCUUCUUCAGGGAGGACUACCCUUGGCUGUACACUGCUGAAGGGAGUUCAGAGGGCUGUUCUUCCAAAGUGAUCCUGCAGCCAAAACUCCUCUGUCCUCCAGCAUCCACGUCCUUCCCAUCACAAGGGAGGGAGAUCAUCCAUCCCUCCCUCAGUGUGGUUUGUGGGUUUGGUCACCUGGGGCAAGGGCUGCACCUGCUUGUAUCUUCCAGUGGUGCAAGUCCCAGCCUCUCCUCAGCCCAGCUCUGCUGGUCCUGUUUGCCACACCUCCUGCCUUCCCCAAGAAGAUGCCUGAUUGGCAGUUAGACCCUGAUGUGGUCGUUCCUCCUCACCAGUCAACUGGGAGGUGUCCAGUUCCAACAGUGUGGAAUAGUCAAGCCAUGAUGCUGAGGGAUCUUUGCCAGAAAUGCACGGGAGAUUGCCAGAUCAUGUGGAAUGCUGGCUUCAGCCUGCCCAGUACCUACAUGGACAUGUCCAAAUACAGGCAUGGAUGAAGCAAACACAAGAUGAGUUACUGUCUCCAUAGCAGGAGGAGCCCAAGAUGGUUGCAAAAGGAGGGAUUCUAAACCCUUCCUCCACCAUGCUGAGCAGACCAGCUCUAGGACCACUGCUCCCGCAUCAGCCUCAGGCUGAGCUCUGCCCCUCCAGUCCCAGGCCCCAUGCUGCCUGAGCCAGCUCUCUGCCUGCUGAGCUUCCUUGCUUCCCUUACUGCUGUUUUUGUUUUCUUUCCACAGCUCGUUUUCUCGGUCAUCCAUGUCUGUGCAUCAUAUAUCACGCCUAUGUGUCCAGAGGAAAGAAAGAUCCCCUCCAACCCAGCAGCCCUGUAACGGAUGGACCUUCCCGAUUUGCAGCUAGCUGACAGCUUGUGAGAACAACAGCUUGAAUUACUGAAAGAACUUUUCCCACUGAGUUAAUCUGCAAUGGAUGUAGGUGACCUUCUAAAGGCAUCUAUUAAUCAAAAAACGAGUGCCCAUUCACUGUGCUAGGCUGAGACCUUUGGGGGAGGGGAGAUACUAAUUUCCCUCUGAGAUAAAUCAUAAUUUGACAAUAAUCAUC
This 1115-nucleotide long non-coding RNA is filed under the name Calidris pugnax (ruff). RNAcentral describes it as "lncRNA (ENSCPUG00000011249.1)". Lineage: Eukaryota; Metazoa; Chordata; Aves; Charadriiformes; Scolopacidae. The record is from RNAcentral.